GUCUUUUUGUAUAAUAAUUUAAAGUCUUGCCUGCCCMCUGAAUAUUUAAAUGGCUGCGGUAUUUUGACCGUGCAAAGGUAGCAUAAUCAUUAGUUUUUUAAUUGAAAGCUGGAAUGAAUGGUAGAAUAAGAGAAAAGCUGUCUCAAAUUAAUUAUUUUAAAAUUUUAUUUUUAAGUUAAAAAGCUUAAAUUUUUUUAAAAGACGAGAAGACCCUAUAGAGUUUAAUAAAAAUUGUAAAUAUUUUUUUAAUGAUUAUUUAUUUAUUUAUAAAAUUUAUUUUGUUGGGGUGAUGAAAAAAUUAAAUAAACUUUUUUUAUAAUUAAACAUUGAUUUAUGAUUAAUUGAUCCAAAUAUUUUGAUUAAAAGAAUAAAUUACCUUAGGGAUAACAGCGUAAUUUUUUCAGAGAGUUCUAAUCGAAGAAAAAGAUUGCGACCUCGAUGUUGGAUUAAAAUUAAUUAUUGGUGUAGAAGCUAAUUUAUUAGGUCUGUUCGACCUUUAAAAUUUUACA
RNAcentral lists this ribosomal RNA (509 nucleotides) under Anidrytus nigricans. Its description in RNAcentral is "partial 16S ribosomal RNA". The stretch from base 383 to 509 matches the Rfam family "Archaeal large subunit ribosomal RNA", at positions 2544 to 2671 of the family's 2987-position model. Lineage: Eukaryota; Metazoa; Arthropoda; Insecta; Coleoptera; Endomychidae. The record is from RNAcentral.